Molecule: ribosomal RNA, 306 nt
Filed under: uncultured bacterium
Lineage: Bacteria
Description: bacterial SSU rRNA
Rfam family: Bacterial small subunit ribosomal RNA
Source: RNAcentral
AGAGUUUGAUCAUGGCUCAGGACGAACGCUGGCGGCGUGCCUAACACAUGCAAGUCGAACGGAGAUAAACGCUGAUGAUUUAGCUUGCUAGAGAAUCUUGUUUAUCUUAGUGGCGGACGGGUGAGUAACGCGUGAGCAACCUGCCUUUCAGAGGGGGAUAACGUCUUGAAAAGGACGCUAAUACCGCAUGACAUUGUGAGAUCACAUGGUUUUGCAAUCAAAGGAGCAAUCCGCUGAAAGAUGGGCUCGCGUCCGAUUAGGUAGUUGGUGAGAUAACAGCCCACCAAGCCGACGAUCGGUAGCCGG